RNAcentral lists this long non-coding RNA (6323 nucleotides) under Cricetulus griseus (Chinese hamster). RNAcentral describes it as "lncRNA (ENSCGRG00015031507.1)". Lineage: Eukaryota; Metazoa; Chordata; Mammalia; Rodentia; Cricetidae. The record is from RNAcentral.
CUGGCCUCAUGUGUGCUGUAAACACGGCUGGAACUACAGGGGAGGUCUGAGAAAGCUGGGAACCCUGGCCUCAACAGAAACAUGAUUCAGGUUUUCUCUCCAGCUCCCUGGGCGGCUGAACUGCUGGGAAGUUCCCUGGGAGGGUAGCAGGGAAGGUUGCUCCUGCCUUGCCCUGGCCGAAGGCCUUCAACAACAAUAAUACUGAGUAGGAGUUCUGUUGCCAUUUAGUGAAUGCUUUGGACAUGCUGCACCGUCUUUACACUUAUUAUUUCAUUAAAUCUUUUCGACUAGGAAAAAAAAGAAAAAAGAAAGAAAGAAAAAAGCAUGCUAGGGGGAUCACACCAGCCAAGACCUGCCAUGGCAAGAAAUCCCACUCAGGGCUGAUUCAGCUUUGUGUCCUCUACCCUGGCAACUGAUCACCCUGUUCUGCUGAGCAUCAGGUAAAGGGGUUGCCUUGCGUUGACAGACUGUGAUGCCUGUUAUUUAGAAUUUCCAUGGAAACAUGUCAGGGAUUUAUUCUGAGGGUAUUUCCAGAAAGGAUUAAUUGAAAAGUCCCAUCUUGAAUGUGGGUGGUACCACCCCAGGAGCUGAGGUUUUAAUUUUUUUUAAGAUUUAUUUUAUCUUGCUUACAUGUAUGCCUGCUCACUCUGUGUGUGUGUGUGUGUGUGUGUGUGUGUGUGUGUGUGUGUGUGUGUGAUGUGCCUGGUGCCUAUGGAGGUCAGAAGACAGUGUCUGAUUCCCCUGGAACUGGAGUUACAGAUGGUUGUGAGUUAUCAUAUGCAUACUAGGGACCAAACCUGGGUCCUCUGCAAGAGCAACACAUGCUGUUAACCUCUGAGCCAGCUCUCUAGCUGGGGUUUUAGAGGACUGAGUACAAGCAGGCAUGCCAACAUUAGUCCUGUCUGCUUCCUGACUGUGGAUCCAAUGUGACCAGAAGCCUCGUACUCUUGCAGCCUCCACUUCUCUACCAGUUCCUGCCUGCAAGCUAUGAGCUAGAAGAAUCCCUUCCCUCCUUUAGUCUCAUCUUGCCAAGUAUUUGGUCACAUCAAUGAGAAAAAUAACUAACACAGGAACCAUGUCAUAUAUUAGAGCUAUUCUGUUGCAGGAUAUUCCUUUAUGCUAUGUGAAGAUGUAGUUGUCUCGACCCACAGGACAGCAACCUAGAGCAAGAAGUCCAGGGAGGAGAAUGGGGACAAGAGACACGAGAGAAUGACCACAAGACAGGAUUCUGAUCAAGUGGCAAAUUUUAUUUUUUCCAGGGUAGCUUAUAUAGUCGUAUGGAGUAAAGAGGAGGGGGAGAAAAGGCCAGGAGCCAGGUGUUAGUUUAAGCAGGAUGUUAGAAAACUAUAGAAAGAGGAUGUUGGCAGGGUAAAAAGUUCAUGGGUGGUGGGGAGAGGGAGAGUUACCUAGGUGAGUGGUGGGAAGAAGGAAGGUAGUUUAGGUAAGUGGUCCUGUGGUUGGAACAAAGGAUUGAUGUCUGGGUCAUUUUGUUCCUUCUGGGUGCUCAUGCUUCUAGAAGCCAUUUAUAAUCAAAAGACAGUUCUAUAACCGUGUGGCUUGCCAAGUUUGGCCUAAAGGUUCAUGCCAAGCUGUAUGGCUCCCAACAUGAAGAUGAGUCAUUGUGAUUGGUUUAAUAAAGAGAUAGCUAGGCAGGAGAGAACAGAUGGGACUUCUCGGCAGAGAGAACUCUGGGAAGAAGAGAGGUGGAGAUGCCAGGGGAUGCAGACCAAGUCAGAGGUACAGAAAUGAAGAAGCGUGGGGACGGCUACGUGGUAGAACAUAGAUUAAUAGAAGCAGAUUAAUUUAAGUUAUAAAAGGUAGUUGGGGACAAGCUAAAGGCCAGGCUUUCAUAAUUAGUAAGAAGUCUCUGUGUUGUGGUUUGUAGGUGGUGGCCGAAAGGAAAGUCGUACUGCAUUAUUCUCAGCAUUAUAAUGUGCUCCCAGAGGAAAUGGCCGUUCUAUGCCCUCCAUCUCACCUGUAUUCCGAGGCUGACACCUUUCGAAUGAGAUGAUGGCCAGAGUAGGAGGGCUGGCUUAGGAAACUUUCUGGAGGUGACCACCAUAGGUUCACAUCAUAUGUAAAUAUUACCUGUUAGGCCUUAAUGUCUUGUAGGUAGCAAAAAGGCACUGAAUAUAUAAAGCCAAGCAUGGGGAUGAUAAUUCUAUAUUUCUAAAGACACUUGAAAGGGCUGGAGAGAUGGCUCAGUGAGUAAGACUAUGCUGUGUAGGCACGAGGAUCUGGGUUUGAAUCCCCACCACCCAAGUAAAGAACUGGAUGUGGUCAUACAAACACUUGUAUGCUCAACAUUGUGGGGCAGUGGGCAGGGACAGACAGGAGGCUUGCUGAGGCUUGCUGGUUACUCUCCUAGCUCCCAGUUCAGCAAAAGGUGUCAUUUCAAGGGCAUAAGGAAGACAGGAGUAGAACAAGACAUCCAAUGUCCACUUGUGGUCUUCAGUACCUGCACACACACACACACACACACACACACACACACACACACACACGAAUAUAAUGUGCACGUAAUAUAUCAGGGCAGUGGUGGAGGGACGGGGGAGACAGAUAAUUACUUGAAUUUUCAUGAAGAGGGGAAACUGGGGUACCUACAAAGUAGGGAGCUUCACAUAAAAUCUUCCAUACUUAAUUUUAAUACUUUUUGCUGUCUGGGGACCAAACCCAGAGCCUUGCAUAUGCUAGGCAAGUACUCUAUCUACAUUCUAAUCCUUAAAGUUCAUUACUGGAUAAAGUAGGGAAAUGCUGAGAUCGAAUCCAGCUGGUGUUGAGUACAUAGAAUUUUAUAAAAAUGGCAUCAUGCACCAGGUGGUGAUGAUGCACACCUUUAGUCCUAGCACUCGGAAGGUAGAGAUAGAUGGAUCUUUGAGUUUGAGGCCAGCCUGGUCCACAAAGCUACACAGAGAAACCCUGUGUGGAAAAAUAAAGUAAAAAAGAAAGAAAAAUGGCAUCAUUGUCUACUUUUCUGUAAGAAUGAUAUUUCAUAAAAAAUUACACAUGGAUACAUGUGUUCUCCUGUUUGGUACUGUGGUGGGCCAAAUAAUGGCUCCCCAAUUUGCCAAGGUUCUUAUCCCAGAAUGUGUGCAAAUAUUUAUUACCUUACAUGGCAGGUGAGAUCUUACUGGUAUGACUAAGGAUUCUGAAAGGGAGAGGUUCCUAUGGCUUGUCCAGGGUAAUAACAUAGGUCUGCAUAAGAAAGUGACAAGAGAGCCAGGCGUUGGUGGCGCACGCCUUUAAUCGCAGCACUCGGAAGGCAGAGGCUGGAGGAUCUCUGUGAGUUCGAGGCCAGCCUGAUUUACAGAGCGAGUUCCAGGACAGGCUCCAAAACAAUACAGAGAAACCCUGUGUCGAAAAACAAAAAAACAAAACAAAACAAAGAAGAAACAAAAGAAAAGAAAGUGGCAAGAGCAUCUGGAACAAAAGAAGACAUGAAGAUGGAGGUGGGAGAUGGAAUGGUGUCCCUCUCAGUGAACACGGGCUGCCUCUAGGAGGCAUGAAGGCAAGGAAUAGAGUCUGUUUGCAGCUGCUGCUGGUACUUGUUUCUAGUCCUCGGAGGAUUCAUUUUAGACCGCUAGAACCAUGAGAUUACAUGUUAGUUUUUUUUUAUUAUUUUAUGUAUAUGGUUGCUUUGCAUAAUGCCUAUCUGUGUAUCACAUGCAAGCCUCGAACCCACAGAGGCCAGAAGAGGACUUUGGCUCUCCUGGAGUUACAGACAGCUGUGACCACCAUGUGGAUGCUGGGAAUUGAACCUGGGUCCUCUGGAAGAGCAGCCAGUGCUCUUAACCACAGAGCCAUGUUUCCAUUCCUUACUGGUGUUGUUUUAAAACAUCGUCUGUGAGAUUGGAGAAAUGGUUCCAUAUUUAAAAGCACUUGCUCUUUCAGGGGAUCAGGGUUCAGUUCCCAGAACCAGUAUGGUGGCUCAAAACCAUCAUAUGAGCUGCAUAUACACACAUACACAUGAAAUAAAAUAAUACGAUAAAAAUAAACCAACAACUCUUUUAAAGACAUUUGUGGUAAGUUGCUAUAUCAGCAAUUGGGAAUGAAUAUGAGUAUGAUCAGCGAUUUGGAAGCUCAUGGCAACAUACUUUACUAACAAGAGGCCAAGGAGAAUAUCUUGCUAAGACAGUGGCUCUCAAACUUCCUAAUGCUGCGACUUUAUACAGUUCUGUAUAAAGUAUAAAGUUUUGUAUAAACUGCCCUCAUGUUGUGGUGACCCUCCCAACUAUAAAAUUAUUUUCAUUCCUAUUUCAUAACUGUAAUUUUGCUGCUGUUAGGAAUCAUAAUACAGAAAUCUGUGUUUUCCAAUGAUCUUAUGUGACCCCCAAAAGGGGUCCUGACCCACAGAUUGACAACCACUGUGCUAAACUGUGCUAAGCUGUGAUAGCAGAGCUGGCUUUCCAGAGCUGGUUCCCUCCAUCUCCACCCCACUCUCACCUUGUGACUGUGCUUGGCUCUCUGUCGCUCUGUAGAGAUGGUAGAGCGGCUGUAGAGGGAAAACGGAAAUGCAAAAGGCUUACAAGACUAUGAACUCAGCUGCACAGAAUGGACACCAUAAGAUGGCCUCAGGUACCCAUGCCUCCAGGAAUUCUGGGGCCAAGAUCCAAGGUAGUCCUGUCGAGUAGUUCAUCUGCUCAGGCUUGCUGUGGGUAUCAAACUCAGGCUGCCAGGCUUGGGAGCAAGUGCCUUCGCACACUGGGCCUUGUUGCCAACUCCACAUUUGUUCUCUACUCUAAAGUGACUUCUGAGAACGAAAGGUCCCCAGACCUGAGUAGAAACCAGGAUGUAGCUGCAGGCAGCAGCUGUGUUUGUGUUGGCAACAACCUAUUUCUUAAAUCUACGUCAGACCCCAAUGUGCCUUUGCUGUCUGUGUCCUUGUAGUAUGUUUUCAGACAUGGCUGCGGAGUCUGAAUCAGCAACAGAAGGUGGGACCUCAAGUGUGUCUAGGUUAUUCCAGAAUAUCCAGUGGCAGGAUCCCUGAACAAAGAAAGGUGAAAACAUGUCUCAGUGCUGGGCGGCCUUGUAACUAAGUGUUCUCAAAGGCAUGGGUGAAAGGUUCAGGCAUUAUGCUGGCCUACCCCUGUUACCUGGUGGAAUCUACUCAGGCAGUACCCUGGUCAGCCCAGUAUUCCCCGGGAACUAAGUCUGCACACGCAAGUGUAGAGGACCCCUUUAAAGACAGAGCCUUGCCCAUUUACGCUCUCUCUGCCCCUCUUCUCCUCUCUGCCUCUUCUCUUACGCUCUCUCUGCCCCUCUAUGGCAACGGCAUGGCGGUCAGUCAUUAACCCUGUUCCUCUUCUCUCUUAGUGUCUCUACUCGGCCAGGCCUAUGAUAAACUGGUUAAUAUGUCUCUUAGUCUCAUGUCUCAUCCUGCGCUUCUUCUUUUUCUUUCUUUUUAAUUUAAGGAAAAACCUAACAAUGGGGGCAAGGGCAAGGGGGGUGAAGACUGAUUAGAGGUCACAGGAUGAGCUGAUCAGGCAUCCUCGGGAAGAGCUGAGUCAUGGCUAUUGUUCUCAGGAAAUGAAAGGGAUACCCCUGCAUUCACACCAGCCACUUUCCCCAGGGGAAGAGAAAUCGAUCAGAGUGGGCGCAAACAGCAGCCAUUUUGUUGCUUACAUGCAAGUCCUAUUAAAGGAUAAGUGUGAGUGACUGUCACCUCCAGAGGAGAGACUGCACUCCUUCCGGAACAGUCAGUAAGAGGAGGUAAACCGAGGGACGGUUGUCCCCAACACAGCUGGACUGCAUAGGAUAAGAGGCUCGGGGAGCAAUGAGCAGGCGCUCCCUGGAGGAAGGGGAACAGGCAGGAAGAGUUGACAUUGCUCAGACGCAGCUCCCUCAUGGGUUUAGGAUUCAAGUUGAGGCAGAAGAAAGGGCAGGUAGAUGUGAGGCUAUUUAAACACAAGAAAGGAAAAGGUAGCCAGGAGAGAGAAGAGCUGGAGCCCAAGACAAGACUGGGGAAACAUGAAAUAGGUCGUCCUAGUGAACUUUAACUGCCAACUUGAUACAGCCCAGAGUCUGCCGAGAAAGGAGUCUGACUGAGGGAUUGCCCAGAACAGAUUGUCCUGUGGGCAUGUUAUGCAGGACUGUCUUUUGUUAACUGUUACAGGAGGGUCCAGGCCACUGCAGGUGGCACCAUUCCUUGGGCAGGUGGUCCUGAGCUGUAUGAGAAAGUUAAAUAAGCAUGAAACUGUGAACCAGUAAGAAGGGUUCCUUCAUGGUGUCUGCUUCAAGUUCCUGCCUGAAUUUUCUUCAGUGAUGAACUGUGACCUGGAAGUGUUCCAGUGAGCACCCCAGACUUGGAUGUUCACCAACGGAUG